GGGCCCGCACAAGCGGUGGAGCAUGUGGUUUAAUUCGAUGCAACGCGAAGAACCUUACCAAGGCUUGACAUACUACAGAUUUCUUUGAAAAAGGAAAGUGCCUUCGGGAAUGUAGAUACAGGUGGUGCAUGGCUGUCGUCAGCUCGUGUCGUGAGAUGUUGGGUUAAGUCCCGCAACGUAGCGCAACCCCUUAUUUUAGUUGCUAAUUUAGUUUAGGUUUUCUAGAAAGACUGCCGGUUAUAAACCGGAGGAAGGUGGGAUGACGUCAAGUCAGCAUGCCCCUUACACCCUGGGCUACACACGUGCUACAUUGGGCGAGACAAUGAGAUGCAAAUCUGUGAAGACUAGCU
This 350-nucleotide ribosomal RNA is filed under the name uncultured bacterium. Its description in RNAcentral is "bacterial SSU rRNA". It matches the Rfam family "Bacterial small subunit ribosomal RNA", at positions 917 to 1269 of the family's 1533-position model. The record is from RNAcentral.